Molecule: non-coding RNA, 31 nt
Filed under: Mus musculus (house mouse)
Lineage: Eukaryota; Metazoa; Chordata; Mammalia; Rodentia; Muridae
Source: RNAcentral
UGCCCAUGUUUGGUAAGCUGUUCUGGCCCCU